Sapajus apella (tufted capuchin) is the source of this 1644-nucleotide long non-coding RNA. RefSeq lists it as uncharacterized. The record is from RefSeq and is a predicted model, not a curated record. The transcript is spliced from 2 exons. Lineage: Eukaryota; Metazoa; Chordata; Mammalia; Primates; Cebidae.
CUUCUAACAGCCAGGCCCUUCUGCUGCAGGACUGCUGGAAGUCCACUCCAGACUCUGCUUGCCUGGGGAUCACCCGCGGGGGCUGCAUAACAGUAAGGGGCUCCUGGUUUCUCCUUCUGUUGUCUUCGUCCCAGAAGAGUACCUGCCAGAUGUCAGCCUGAGCCUUCCUUUAUGAAAUAUCGCUUUUGAUAUACAGGAGUCGGGGAGCUGCUUGAGGAGACAGUCUAUCCCUUAUAGGAGCUCAAGUGCUGUGCUGGGAGCUCCGUUAUUCCAUGCAGAGCUGCUGGGCAGGUACGUUUAAGUCUGCUGCAGCGGGACUUAUAAGUGCCUCUUUUCCGAGGUGCUCUGUCCUAGGAAGGUUGGGCUUUAUUUAUAAGUUCCUGAUGUGCUGCUGCUUUUUUUCAUAGAUGCCCUGUCCCACACAGAGAUAGUCUAGUCACAGUGUGCCAGCAGAGGUGUUGUUUUUAGAGGUACCAUUAGAACUGCCUUUGUAUUGGCAAACUGGCUCGGUAAUGGCAGAUGCCCUUCCCCCAACCAGGCUGGACCAUCCUGGGUCCAGCUGCACUUGCUGCGAAACUCUCAAUCCAGAGCAUUUCAGAUUGCUUGUUUUGUAGGGGUGGUACCUGCUGAGCCAGAUCACCUGGCUCCCUGUCUCGGCCCCCUCCCUCUCAGUUGAAUUGGUGGCUCUGUCUCCUAGGCUUUCCAGGCGCCAGUUGAAAUAACCGCCUGGAUUUGUGUGAGUUUCUGUGCACUGACCCGCGGCUCCGGCUGAAGCAGCCAUGCCGCAAACUUGUGACACUUUUCUGCCCGGGAAUGUCCUUGUCCGUGGGCAGUGAAAACUCAUUGGGAAAUGCUGUGAUCACUCACCCUCUUUGUUCUUGCUGGGAACUGCACUCCAGAGCUGUUCCUGUUCAGCCAUCUUUGAGUCAUUAUCUCUUGACCCGUGUUCAAAUUCACCAUUGUCUGUAAGCUGUUAAUCCCAUCUGAAUAAUUUAUUGCAGACUUUAUAUUUUUUCAAUUUUGGAAUUUCCAUAUGAUUGUUGUUAAAUACACUUUUUCUUUGUUGUGAUUUUCUACUUGUUUACUCUUUAGGAGCAUGUUUUUCUUUAAGAUGUUCUAAAGCUGCUCUGAAAUUCUCAUUUCUUAAUUCUGAUGUUUGGUCAUUUCAGGGCUAGUCUUCACUGAUGAUUUUCUUUCUUGGGUAUGGACCUUGUGUUUUGUUUCUUCAUAUGUUUAGAAAUUUGGAUCAUCUUCAUUUUUUUAAAGUGAUUCAUUGUAGAGAGGCAGGAUUCUGUUAUGUUCUUCUGAAGAGUACUGUUUUUUUGUUUGGUGCUGUUUUAACUGGUAGCUAACUUGACUGAAGUCAAACUCCAGAAUCUAUCUUUCUGGCAGUGGGGAGCUGCUGUGGUCUUUGUUCCAUUCUGUUAGUAGAUUUAGGUUUGGGCAUGAUAGGUUAGGUGUCAGAAUGAGAUCAUACACAGAUUCAACCCCUUCUGUGGCACCCUUCUUUCUAAGUUUCUGUUUCUCACUUUUCAGCUGCUGUGGUCACCCUAACCUCUGACGUCUGCUUCUUUGUGUCUGGGAGUCUGGGAGUUUUGUAUUUGAGUUUUACCAGCCAUGGCAGAACUUUAUACACUCACACAU